Argiope bruennichi is the source of this 744-nucleotide long non-coding RNA. RefSeq lists it as uncharacterized. The transcript has 4 exons. The record is from RefSeq and is a predicted model, not a curated record. Lineage: Eukaryota; Metazoa; Arthropoda; Arachnida; Araneae; Araneidae.
UUCUUUAUAAAUAAACUGCUGAUUCUAGCUUCGACGGCCGAACUAUUUUCACUGUAUUCUCAAGUCACACGACUCUUAGGAAGAUGCUGAAAUACGUUUUCGUUAUUCUCACUAUUUUGUGCUGGUUGAGUCUUGUACUCAGCGCGCCUGCUCCUGAAGCUAAACCUGAUGGAGCAAGCGCUUGUGAGCCGUCUAUCAAAUGUGCUUAUCUCAAAUUUUCUGAUCCACCAGGACAACCAUAAAGUGAUAGAAACUGGAGAUGUUUUUGGAACUAAAUGAAUGGAUCAGCAAGUAACCGCAAAAAUUAGAAAUGUGAUCGAAGUAAUAGGGAUAAUAAAAGUAAAGAAAGAGAUCUAUUAAAGAGUAUUUUAAAACAGCCUUUAUCAGUUUUGAUUUUUUCUCAAGAAAAUAUUUUAUACAUUGCUGGAAAAUUUUGGAAAAUAUUUUAUAAAUUAUCUGACAUUCUUAAAAAAAGUAUGAAGUGAUUAAUAUUUCUAGCUAUUAUGCGGAGUGUCAAAUAUCAAACCGAUCAAAUGUGAAAUAAUAAUAUAUAUUUAAUAUUUUAUUUUGGUUAAUAUUUUAUUUUGGUUUUUUUUAAUAAGAAAGAGAUAAAUUUUGUUUUUAAGAUUUUUCAUUUUCCUUUGCAGAUUUUGAGUUAAAAUUUUCCAAUGGUGUGUUUCAUUAUUUUUUUCUUGUAUAUCUGUAGAAUUCACAUAUGCACAAAUAAAAGCUUUCAAUAACCUU